ACUUAAAAAGAAUAUGCAAACAUACAUUGCAUUUUGUUCAGUUGAGGUGCAUAUUAAUUAUAAUGCUUAUGGAACAGUUGCCUUAUAAGUGUCAGUGCAUUUGGUAGCAAACAAUGGUCAACUGUGCAUUUGGGUUUUCAGUUAGAUGACAAAGAGAAAAAGAAAGUCCUAAAAUUUGUUUUUAUUCAUUAAAAAGCAUGUAAAAUGAUUCCUGGACAGGAAUCUGAUGAUUGCUUAGUACUAAACAAUAUUGCAAAUGUUUAUUUGAAGUAGAGGCUUGACUCACCAAUUAAGACUUAAUUCUUUAAAUUCAUUGAGUUUUGCUCCUUGUUACGUGGCCAAACACACAUCCAAUUUGGGUUAGGUGGCAAAGCACAGUAAGAGCUAGCCUUCUCUCCUGAUUGGAUAUCAGGUUCCUUUUGUUGGUUAUAGGCGAUUUAAUUAUGAACUUCAACUUACAGCUUCAAGCUACAGACUUUUAGAGAAUGCUCUUAUCUUUUGGUGGCAUUAUUUAUCCAG
This 519-nucleotide unclassified non-coding RNA is filed under the name Hevea brasiliensis (rubber tree). The record is from RNAcentral. Lineage: Eukaryota; Viridiplantae; Streptophyta; Magnoliopsida; Malpighiales; Euphorbiaceae.